Nicotiana tabacum (common tobacco) is the source of this 564-nucleotide non-coding RNA. NCBI's taxonomy places the organism in Eukaryota, Viridiplantae, Streptophyta, Magnoliopsida, Solanales, Solanaceae. The record is from RefSeq and is a predicted model, not a curated record.
GAUACUGUUUUAACUUUUGAAAGCAUCAACUUGUCAAAGAGCAUACAGAAGUAAGCAGCAAAGUUACAGAGAUUACUUGCUUUAGGUUAGGAGGAGAACUCAGCAAUUACAGGUUGUAAUUGAGAGAUGGAAAACAGAGGACUAAAUCUUAUUAACAUCCAGCACUGCUCUACUGGCAUGAUUAUCCAACUUAUAGUUCGAAAUUGAAGCCGGCCCUGCUAAGGGUACAAUUACAAUAGCUAGCCCUCAAAUCCAAGCAAAUUGGAGUCGGCAAUAUGAGUUCUCACUGUCCAUUUUGCUCCAUUUAUGCUAGUCUCGAUCCAAUAUUAUAAAAAACUAGUUGUCCAAGCUUGGUGGACAAAGUUACAUGGUGCCUGUUGAUGGUGUGAGGUAGCAAGUAUCCCGUGGAAUUAGGGUUGUGGUCAAUUAGGAUAAUCUUAAUUCGAGAAUCCGAACUGAUUUAUGCUAUUCUGAUAGUCAGAAUUUCGGUUAUAUGGUUCAGACAGGGGAACAUGAUUAAAAUUUUUGGAUAUACGUGCAGGUAUGGUUUGGCAAAAUUUUAAA